This 253-nucleotide ribosomal RNA is filed under the name uncultured bacterium. Its description in RNAcentral is "partial 16S ribosomal RNA". It matches the Rfam family "Bacterial small subunit ribosomal RNA", at positions 524 to 776 of the family's 1533-position model. The record is from RNAcentral.
UACGUAGGGUGCGAGCGUUGUCCGGAAUUACUGGGCGUAAAGCGCGUGUAGGCGGUUGCCCAAGUCGGGUGUGAAAGCCUUGAGCUCAACUCAAGAAAUGCACUCGGUACUGGGUGACUAGAGGACCGGAGAGGAUAGUGGAAUUCCCAGUGUAGUGGUGAAAUACGUAGAGAUUGGGAAGAACACCAGUGGCGAAGGCGGCUAUCUGGACGGUUUCUGACGCUAAGACGCGAAAGCGUGGGGAGCAAACAGG